Salvelinus fontinalis (brook trout) is the source of this 2161-nucleotide long non-coding RNA. RefSeq lists it as uncharacterized. The transcript is spliced from 2 exons. The record is from RefSeq and is a predicted model, not a curated record. Lineage: Eukaryota; Metazoa; Chordata; Actinopteri; Salmoniformes; Salmonidae.
UAUGACUGUUUAUUUUAGAACGCUUCUGCAUGGAAUUAUUACGUAGUUGUUUAUAACGUAGCUACUAUCGGGGAAGACGCUGGACCACGCUAAACCAAUCAGAAUCUAAGUUGAAUCUCACCGACACCAUCACCCAAUGAUCUAGAAGCUUCUUCAAACGACAUCGUUGUCCAUGGUAACGGGUCCAGUGUGCUCAGAGAAUAACCAGAUCCUAGCUCGACAACGUGAAUUUGCUACUAUGUCGAUAAACUAACUUGAACAACGAUGUGCCAGCUAUAUGGAAUAUGUUAAUGAUACUGGUCCGUGUGUGUCACGUGGAUUUCGAGUAACGCAAACCAGCUAAAUUAGCCAACUAGGGGUGAGUUCGUAAAUUCAGAGCGUUGUCAGAUUGUCCGUUCGUAAAAACUGGACGUUCUGGCUGAGAAGUAGGGUUGAUCCGAGCGUUCUGACUGGGGCAUACUGAUCUCACGACAGACAAGCACCCAAGCUAACUGGCUAACGUUGGCUAGCUACUUGUCACACAUUAUAGAACACCUCACUGUUGCUGGCAACAAUUUCAUUACGUUAAGCUUAGUCUUUAGUAACUCGAUGAAUUGUGAUACUGAUUUACACUGGCUGUAACAUUCAUCGUCACAGGUUGGUCUGACUUCUCAGAAAACCACGAGGCUCCCAGAAGGUACUGUAACGUUACUGUGCAUUAUUAGAGGUGACCCAUAAACAUACCUUGUGGUUGGUUUGGAAUAUGCUCUUGAAAUCUGUCUCUGAACAAUGCCCCAGUAUUCAGUUACAAAUUUAAUUUAGCGUGUUACCGGUUGCUGAUGGUGGUGUGAGAACUUGUUUUGGGAUGAAAAAAGGAGUAGCUGUGGUAUGUAUGGGGUCUUACAUAUUCAACGUCAUUGAAAUACUAGCCUGGGCGCCAGUCUGUUUUUAGCCAACUCAUUCAUCAUUGUUGGCUAAAGCAGAACCAGACUGGCACUGAGGCUAGCAGAAUACAACAACUUUCAUGGGCUUCAUAUGAAUGCCUACUGCCGUUGUCCCCCUGUACAAGGCACUUAGCCUAACCUGCUCCGGGGAAACUGCUCUGCAGCUGACCCUGUGCUGUUCGGUGGGAUGGGUACCAUGUUCUCAAAAAUACAAGUUUCCAUUGUGUAAUAAAUAAAUAAGGUUUCAAUCUAUGAAUGUUGAUUGUGGUUAUCUUUUCCAGCCUGUGUUCAAGACAUUGCCAGGGCAGAAGUCGCAGCUCAGAAGUGAAGGAAUACACCAAUAAAGGCAAACAGUUCCUGUCCUUUGAGGCCAACCUUACAGAAAGCAUUAAAGCCAUGUCAUUUCUUUUACUUUUUGAUUUGACAUAGGUUACCUUGCCUCGGUUCCAGGCCCUCUACACAUGUUCGUUAACAGUGAUGAACGAGACUUGGGAGUAUGGCAUGUUUCAGGAGCAGACCUUUUUGUACGUGCGAGUUACAUCUACAACCACUACUGUGAAUGCAAGGACCAAGACUACUACCUGUCCGGAGACAAAAUCAAUGACAUUGUGUGUUUGUCUGCUGAGAACUUGGGCCGCAUUGUCCAUGUGUUGGCAUGUCAAGACAGAGUUUGGAGUGUUGCAGGUCAAGCUUUUACCACACUGUCUGUCAUUUAAUCCCAUUUCCAUACAAUCCAACGAGUGUUUUCUAAUGGGUGAAGGGAAAUUAGUACUUCAAAGAGUUUGUCAUUUCUUGCCCAUAGGGAUCUGAGCUAUUGUAUGAUAUUGAAGUCCCUGGUCCUCCCUCAGUUUUGGAGCUGUACAAUAGACAUGGAGGCAAGUACAAUAUUCUUAUACUGAACUCAAAUGUCAAUUUCACACAUCCCUGUACUUACAGUGCCUUCAGAAAGUAUUCACACCCCUUGACUUUUUCCACAUUUUGUUGGUUACAGCCUGAAUUUAAAAUUGAUUACAUUUAGAUGUUUUUGUCACUAGCUUACACACAAAACCCCAUAAUGUCAAAGGGGAAUUCUGUUUUUAGAAAUGACUAGAAAUGAAAAGCUAAAAUGUCGAGUCAAUAAGUAUUCAACCCCUUUGUUAUGGCAAGCCUAAAUAAGUUAAUGAGUAAAAAUGUGCUUAACGAGUCAUGUAAUAAGUUGAAUGGACUCACUUUGUGUGCAAUAAUAGUGUUUAACAUGA